RNAcentral lists this small RNA (783 nucleotides) under Pongo abelii (Sumatran orangutan). RNAcentral's name for it is "retained intron". Lineage: Eukaryota; Metazoa; Chordata; Mammalia; Primates; Hominidae. The record is from RNAcentral.
UUGAUUUGGAUUCCAUUUGGACAUUUAUCUUUGGAGUUCCUGCCUCCAGUGGAACUGUGGUCUCUUCUAUCCAUAACGUAUGCACAGAAGCUGUUUUUUUAUUAUUGGGAAUGCUCCGCAGCAUGCUGAAUUCACCUUGGCAAUCAGAAGAAGAGGGAUCUUGGCUCCGAGAAUAUCCUGUGACCCUGAUGCAGUUCUUCAGAUAUUUGUAUCACAACGUCCCAGACCUUGCCUCCAUGUGGAUGAGCCCUGACUUCCUGUGUGCAUUAGCAGCCACGGUCUUCCCCUUCAAUAUUCGCCCUUACUCAGAGAUGGUGACUGACCUUGAUGAUGAAGUUGGAUCUCCAGCAGAAGAGUUUAAAGCAUUUGCAGCAGACACAGGGAUGAACAGGAGCCAAUCAGAGUACUGCAAUGUGGGCACCAAGACAUAUCUGACCAAUCACCCGGCUAAAAAGUUCGUUUUUGACUUCAUGCGGGUCUUAAUCAUAGACAACCUCUGUCUCACUCCUGCCAGCAAGCAAACUCCACUAAUUGAUCUUUUGUUGGAGGUAAAGAAAAAGAAACGCAUUUACAUCUCUUUUGCAUUACUUUUUAAAUUAGAACAUUAGUAACCAAGCAAGUUCUAUAACAAAGAUUUCUAAUUCCUCUUGUUUAUGUGUAGGCAGAACAUGUUAUAGGCUGUGGAAAGUUCUUAAUCCCACAUGUGCUUUCAACCCUAUCAGUUUGUUCUUUUCCUUCCCUCAAGGAUGUCUCUAAUUCAGUCCUUUAUCAUCCUUUCUCUAA